Molecule: ribosomal RNA, 1237 nt
Filed under: metagenome
Description: bacterial LSU rRNA
Rfam family: Bacterial large subunit ribosomal RNA
Source: RNAcentral
UGAAUACGAGACGCUACGGCGUCGAAGCAGUCUAUGUCAUACUUCCAAGAAAAGCUUGCACUGUCAUAAACAAAUAAUGCCUGUACCAUAACCGACACAGGUGGGUAGGUAGAGUAUACUAAGGGGCGCGAGAUAACUCUCUCUAAGGAACUCGGCAAAAUGACUCCGUAACUUCGGGAGAAGGAGUGCCUUAAGAAAUUAAGGUUGCAAUAACAAGAUCCAAGCAACUGUUUAUCAAAAACACAGGUCUCCGCUAAGUCGUAAGACGAUGUAUGGGGGCUGACGCCUGCCCAGUGCCAGAAGGUUAAAGAAGUCGGUUAGCAUUAGCGAAGCUGGUAACUGAAGCCCUGGUGAACGGCGGCCGUAACAAUAACGGUCCUAAGGUAGCGAAAUUCCUUGUCGGGUAAGUUCCGACCCGCAAAAGGCGUAAUGAUUUGGAUUCUGUCUCGGAGAGGGACUCGGUGAAAUAGACUUGUCUGUGAAGAUGCGGACUACCUGCACCAGGACAGAAAGACCCUAUGAAGCUUUACUGUAACUUGAAAUUGAAAUUGGACUUUACUUGCGCAGUAUAGGUGGGAGGCGUUGAGAAUAUUCUUGCGGGAAUAUUGGAGCCAUCAGUGAGAUACCACUCUUGUAAUGUUAGAUUUCUAACUUUGUAUCAUUAUCUGGUCAAAGAACAGUUUCAGGCGGGCAGUUUGACUGGGGCGGUCGCCUCCUAAACGGUAACGGAGGCGCACAAAGGUUUCCUCUGAACGGGUAGAAAUCGUAUCUAGAGUGUAAAGGCAUAAGGAAGCUUGACUGUGAGACCUACAAGUCGAGCAGGGACGAAAGUCGGUCUUAGUGAUCUGACGGUGCUGAGUGGAAAGGCCGUCACUCAACGGAUAAAAGUUACUCUAAGGAUAACAGGCUGAUCUCCCCCAAGAGUUCACAUCGACGGGGAGGUUUGGCACCUCGAUGUCGGCUCAUCGCAUCCUGGGGCGGUAGUACGUCCCAAGGGUUGGGCUGUUCGCCCAUGAAAGCGGUACGCGAGCUGGGUUCAGAACGUCGUGAGACAGUUCGGUCCAUAUCCGGUGUAGGCGUUAGAAUAUUGAGAGGAGCCUUCUUUAGUACGAGAGGACCGAGAAGGACAUACCUCUGGUGUACCAGUUAUCGUGCCAACGGUAAACGCUGGGUAGCCAUGUAUGGAGAGGAUAACCGCUGAAAGCAUCUAAGUGGGAAGCCCACCUCAAGAUAAGUA